CCUANGGGAGGCUGCAGUGAGGAAUUUUCCGCAAUGGGCGAAAGCCUGACGGAGCGACGCCGCGUGUGCGAUGAAGUCCUUCGGGAUGUAAAACACUGUCGGGGGGGACGAUAAUGACGGUACCCCCAAAGGAAGCCCCGGCCAACUACGUGCCAGCAGCCGCGGUAAUACGUAGGGGGCGAGCGUUAUCCGGAAUUAUUGGGCGUAAAGGGCGUGUAGGCGGUUUUGUAAGUCGGGUGUUAAAGGUAUGGGCUUAACUCAUACAUUGCGCCCGAAACUACAUUUCUGGAGAAUGGCAGAGGUAAACGGAACUUCCGGUGUAGCGGUGAAAUGCGUAGAUAUCGGAAGGAACACCAGUUGCGAAGGCGGUUUACUGGGCCAUUUCUGACGCUGAGGCGCGAAAGCUAGGGGAGCAAACGGGAUUAGAUACCCGANUANUC
RNAcentral lists this ribosomal RNA (440 nucleotides) under uncultured bacterium. RNAcentral's name for it is "bacterial SSU rRNA". It matches the Rfam family "Bacterial small subunit ribosomal RNA", at positions 338 to 795 of the family's 1533-position model. The record is from RNAcentral.